This 513-nucleotide ribosomal RNA is filed under the name uncultured bacterium. RNAcentral describes it as "partial 16S ribosomal RNA". It matches the Rfam family "Bacterial small subunit ribosomal RNA", at positions 28 to 523 of the family's 1533-position model. The record is from RNAcentral.
GACGAACGCUGGCGGCGUGCCUAAUACAUGCAAGUAGAACGCUGAAGAGAGGAGCUUGCUCUUCUUGGAUGAGUUGCGAACGGGUGAGUAACGCGUAGGUAACCUGCCUUGUAGCGGGGGAUAACUAUUGGAAACGAUAGCUAAUACCGCAUAACAAUGAAUGACACAUGUCAUUUAUUUGAAAGGGGCAAUUGCUCCACUACAAGAUGGACCUGCGUUGUAUUAGCUAGUAGGUGAGGUAACGGCUCACCUAGGCGACGAUACAUAGCCGACCUGAGAGGGUGAUCGGCCACACUGGGACUGAGACACAGCCCAGACUCCUACGGGAGGCAGCAGUAGGGAAUCUUCGGCGAUGGGGGCAACCCUGACCGAGCAACGCCGCGUGAGUGAAGAAGGUUUUCGGAUCGUAAAGCUCUGUUGUAAGUCAAGAACGAGUGUGAGAGUGGAAAGUUCACACUGUGACGGUAGCUUACCAGAAAGGGACGGCUAACUACGUGCCAGCCGCCGCGGUAA